RNAcentral lists this long non-coding RNA (415 nucleotides) under Helianthus annuus (common sunflower). The record is from RNAcentral. Lineage: Eukaryota; Viridiplantae; Streptophyta; Magnoliopsida; Asterales; Asteraceae.
ACAACCAAGCAAGAUCACCAAAAUCGCCCCUAGCAAGCUCCAAAAAACGUCCAAUGAUGAGAAUAGGUGAAAAGACACCAUCAAAACUCACUUAAUGUGGCAGUUACACAAAUUCCGCAGACUCCACCGUAAUUUACGGCUCCACCGUAAAUUACGGUGGACAUAAAAGUGUUACGGUGCUGCACUACUGUUUUACGGUGGGAACCAAAUGGAUUUCAGGUCCACCGUAAAUUACGGUGGGACCGUAAUUUACGGUGGCAACCUGAGUUUUGUGUUUUGUUCAUCUUUUGCUCCGCAUCUCAACCCGUUCAACUCGAAAGCUUCCAAAGCUGUACUUUUCCUCCAUUUGAGCCGCUAAACCGUACCUGAGACAUAGACAACACAUCGCAAAGGGUUGUCCAAUGGACCACCCGUC